AACGAACGCUGGCGGCAUGCCUAACACAUGCAAGUCGAACGCUUCUCUUCGGAGAGGAGUGGCGCACGGGUGAGUAACGCGUGGGAACCUGCCCCGGAGUGGGGGAUAACCCGGCGAAAGCCGGGCUAAUACCGCAUACGGCCUAUGGGCGAAAGAUUUAUCGCUCUGGGAGGGGCCCGCGUCCGAUUAGCUAGUUGGUGGGGUAACGCCCACCAAGGCGACGAUCGGUAGCUGGUCUGAGAGGAUGAUCAGCCACACUGGGACUGAGACACGGCCCAGACUCCUACGGGAGGCAGCAGUGGGGAAUAUUGGACAAUGGGGCAACCCUGAUCCAGCAAUGCCGCGUGAGUGAUGAAGGCCUUAGGGUUGUAAAGCUCUUUCGCACGCGACGAUG
RNAcentral lists this ribosomal RNA (394 nucleotides) under uncultured bacterium. RNAcentral describes it as "bacterial SSU rRNA". It matches the Rfam family "Bacterial small subunit ribosomal RNA", at positions 29 to 450 of the family's 1533-position model. The record is from RNAcentral.